ACCUGUCCCCGGGACCCCAGGGUGCCAAAGAAGGAGAAAGGGAACACGAGCUGGGAGGACGCAUCAACAGGUGGCGAAGGUGCGGCUGGCGGGGGAACGGGUAGGAUGAAGGGCAAAGGGGACGGGCGCGGGGAGGCGCUGCCCUCUCCGACCACCCGCCCCCCACCCCACAGCCGGCUGCCAAAGAGCCGUGCCACCUCCCCCUGUGCGUCGCGGGUGAGGGGCUGACUGUGCCCAGCCAAGGCGCUGGGCCUCUGCCAGCGCAAGGGGAGGUCGCGGCCCCGACAGCCAAUAGCUAGGAGCAAGGCGGGGGGGAGGAGCUGCAAAACGGCUGUGUUUGCGCGGCGACGCCCAGCUCCCUGCGGGGAAAGCACAAAACCUCUGGUGCCAGGGCAUCAGGAUGCCCCUCCUUUGGGAACGAAAUGUGUGCUAUGCCAGCCCUCCUCCCUGCCCUCCCGCUGCUCCUGCCACUGAUCUAUUUGUAGCGGCAAGCGCCCAGGAGGACCUACUCGGGGCAGGCAACGCGGCUCCAGCAAAUCCCUGCAUCAGGCAGUCGCUGGAGAACAGGCCGGAGCGGUCCCUUUCGCAGAUGCCUUUUAAACUCACGAUGGUUGGUUAGCUCCAUGCCUGGGUGAACUUUGCCCCACCAUGCACACACCCACACAACCUUCCCACUUGUAGCCAGACAAGUCCAGAUUUUAUUGCACACUAGCAAUAGCCAAUAUUUGUAUUAUGUUUCACUAGGAAGUGUUCCCCGUACGUUAUAUCCUGGCUAUCUGUUGAGUGGGGAGGCGACAGUAUUAUUUAUUUGUGCGGCUAGGGGCCAUCGUGUGCUGGGUGUCAUGGAUAUAGCAGUGAAGGAAGCUGACGAGCACCUCCCCUUGUGGAGCUUGUGUCCUCAUGAGGACCUUCAGGCUCAAAGAUGUCACCUGAUGUACUCCGGAUCCCAGGCUGUCAAGGACUAAGAGUCCAAACGUAGGUGUGUUGGCUUCUUUUCCCACUUGCACCGCAGUGGUCUGCCAUAAAUCCAGCUCAACCAGGCAAGCUGGAAAGACCCGGGAACGGUCGUUUUGAACGAGGACAAAGGAAGCUGUGCAGGGUUCAACAGAGUGGUGUGCACAUCCAGCAGACACAGAGAAGUGAUAUUCUGGGGUUCUUGGGGUUCCCAAGGUUUUAGGGAGACAAAACUUGUUUUUCAUGCAUGUGUUGAUAGUUGUCGCUGAGCAAAUGCUCCAGCCAGGCCCCCACAGGUAGAAAGGGGAAGGAAGUGCAGGAAUUUCUCAUGGGAGGGUCCUGGCUGGAAAUGGCUCCAUACAUGCUGCCCCCUGGGGAACUGUGGGUUCCUGUUUGCCGUGAAGACCUUGUCACUCACCCAGCAUAGGAGAAACUUCCACAAAGGACACCCCCUGCGCCGCCCCCAGCUGCAGGAAAUCUCUCCCUCCCUUCUUACCUCCUUCAGUGUUGAUGGAGCGUAGGCAACACAGCAGAACAGAGACGGCCGUCUGUGCAGGGCCUGAGCAGAAGUCUGUAACUUCAGGGACAAAUCAGCGCUCUCGCAAACACGUCUGAGCCCCACCUGGUUCCCCUUGGAGCCUUCGUCAAUCCUGGAGCAUUUGGGGGCACAUGUAUCUCAGUUUGUAGCUUCCAUUUAUCUGGUGCUGAUGCUGUUCCAGGGCCCGUUUCAUGUUUUCUAAUCUUGAGGAUGUUCGGAGAAAUAAUUAUUAUGGCGCCCACAUUACAAUGGGGAGGCAGAGGCACAGAGAGGCGCCCACUGCACCAGGUCACAUAGAUUGUGGGGCCCAGGAUAGGAGGUGGGUCUCUGGAGCCCAUGACUGCCCCGCUGAGCCACUCGGGGAUACCCCAACCUGUCCAGUCCCACCAGCGCAGCCGAGACUCUCCCUCGGCCUCCCAGGGAGAAUCAGGAAGUGGGGACAUUCAGAGGAGGGGGUGGUGACCUGAAGUGAUAGGGGUCUGCCCCCAAUACUAGGCAGCAGGUUACACCCCAAACGUGUAAGCAGGUAGGGUCAGCUGUCUGUGUUCAGAGAGAAUGUGAGACCCAACUGCUGGCCCCAGCCUGUGCCGGGGGAAGCUUCCCCCAGGGGUCUAGGGGUCCGGGCGGCGGAGUCUGUCUGUUUGCCCUACAACUCAGCCAAGCCCUCUUCCAGGGCCUGUCCAGGGCCUCUGCGGGUCACUUGCUUGCCCUUUGCUGAUCCACAAAGCUUCCUGAUGAGAUGGAAUCUGUGCUUCCUGAGUGUUGUCAGCCAGGGCAGUGGCCUCUGAUCUCCUGGAAGCGUGCCUUCAGGUCAGGUGGUGGAAGUUGUCGGGGCGGGGGGAGGCAAAUUGAGAAAGGGAGAGUUCACUGUCGGAAGGACAGAGCCGCUCCGUGGCCCGCAGCAGGACAUCGGUGGGGACCAGCCAUGGUCAUGUGCAUGGCUGCCGUCUUAGUGAUGACAGCAAAACCUCAUGGGUCCAGGUAAUGUAGUCUUGUCACUUUAAGGCACAGAACUCGCAACAGUCCUGCAAGGCAACUAGGUUCGUCCUCGUUUUACAGAUGAGGAAACUGAGAACCAGGGACGACGUCACUUCGCUGAGGUCUCCAAGAGAGAGCAAGAACCGGCUCUCAGAGUCCAAACCCACUCUACCAUCCACACCUGCCCCGGGGUACCCCCAGGGGUUGGCUGUCUGGUUCAGAAACCUGUGCUCUCCUGGCCUGAUACCCGGGCUGUCUCUGGCAGAUCCAGGAGCACGGUUUUAAGGAUCAGUCUCGGUCCCAGAGCUCCAGAGAGGCAGCUGUGACACAGUGGCAGUGGCAGGAGAGAGGGGCCAUAUUCAAGGGGAGAGAGAGUGGAAAUGGUACAAGACGGACAGAGGGUGAGUGUGGAGCUUCAGGACCCCCGUGACCUGGUGAAGAGAGUCUGGCCGUAAAGCAUGAUGGAUAGACGAAUUCGGUUGAUCGGGGACGUUCCGCUCUGCUGGAGAUGGAGAUCUGACCCAGGAGGGGUCCCACCCGGGACCUGCACUGUUGUGGGUGGGCGAGGUCUGGGGGACUGAGACGGGACCCUGUGUGUUGAUGCCCAAAUGCACAAUAAAGGCAGGUGGAUAUGCACGUCACUGCCUCUGCCUGGGGCAUCCCCGUUUCCCUCCUGAGGUCAACAGAUAGAACCUGGGGUUUGGAGUCGCACAGACCUGGAUUCCAAACCAUGCUCUACCUUCUACUCAUAACACAGCCUUGGCCACACGACUUGCCCAUCUCUAAAAGGGGCAGCAAUGCUUGCCUCCAUAGACUCUGGGGUGAGAAUUAGGAGGCUGCCUGAGGGAAGCGCAGGGUCAGGACCUGAAAGAUGGGUCAGAUUUGAGACUUGGUGAUCACCUACCAGAGGCCUCUACCAAGGAUCACCUCCUCCAGGAAGCCUGCUUGGCAUCCAUCCCACCAGCAAAGCUGCCCUCUUCCCUGGGUCGCAGCUGCCUCCCAUGUGGCUUUUGUCUAGUUCAGCGCUGCCUUUCUGGUGCCUAGUCCUGUCUUGCCACUCGAAAUGGCGGACGUUGAUUGAGCCCUCGAACCUCCCUGACACCCGGCCAGGUGCCUGUGUGUUGCUCCCUCACGUGAUCCUCAGAUCUAGCCUGGUAUCUGCCUUUCAUAGAAGAGUCCUGUCAGCCGUGGAGGCAGCGUGAACUUGAGCCCGAGCAGCCUGCCAGCCCCCAGCCCCCGGCUGCGGCUCCAGGAGAGAGCUCUGUGCCAGCUGGGCCAGCCUCACCCAGUUCUUCAGUCCGGGAGCCUAGCACCGGGCCUGGCACACAGGAGCCUCCGUGAGUGUGCGAGGCUGUUCUGUUGGCACCUGCUGCCUUGGUCAUCACUGACUAGAGGAGGUGGCCCAUGGUGCCCAGCCCCCUGAAGGGACAGACCAUGUCUGACAGAAUGUUCCCAGUCUGCAGCAAAAUGGAGAAGAAAAGCCAGGACAUUGCAGAGAGAUUGUAAAGCUUCAUCUAGUUGAUGUCAAGAAAUACCCCUUUUCUCCCUGAGAGCGUCCUUUACAUUCUUGCAUUGUUAUUCAAAAUGCUUUUUCUGAAUAAAAAUGUCUUAGAUGAA
Non-coding RNA from Equus caballus (horse), 4087 nucleotides. NCBI's taxonomy places the organism in Eukaryota, Metazoa, Chordata, Mammalia, Perissodactyla, Equidae. The record is from RefSeq and is a predicted model, not a curated record.